CUUUGCGGGCGAGAUGAGAGGUUCGUGUCUUCAACUGGCCUACAAAGUCCCAGUUCUCGGCUCCCAGGACCUGCCGGGUUCGCAGCGGGCGAAGAUGGAGCGCGGCGGCGCUGCUGCCCGGAGCCGCGGGGAUCCGGCCCAGCCCGGCGCGGGCAUCGCUCGCUCGGGCCGUGCCGCCGUGCCCGGAGCCGCCGCUUUCCUGGCGCUGGGGCGGGUGGGUGCCGUAGGGACCGGACGGAGCUGGCGCUCCGCGAGCCGAGCAUUUCAUCUGCUUUCCUUAAAGCUGAAUUCUCUGUAAAGGAGAAGUGAUGAAACCCUGCAGUGAGUCCCAGGUCUCGCUGAACGUUGUGAGGAUGCUGCCAAGGUGACACUGCUCCAGUGCAGGUACGGUAUGAACCAGGGGCUGUACCAGCUGCUGUGCAAUGUGCUCACAUGAAGUCAUCCUGCCAUAGCUGUUGCAGAGUCCCCAGCUCCUCUGUGUAAGCAAGCCCUAAAGAACAAUCCUUAUCUCAGUGACUGUGACUAGAUGAGACAAUGGGCGCAAGAAAGGCACAUUACUAUCAGCUGAGGAUGUGUACUGAUCAACCAGCUGGGAACAAAGAAACUUGGGCUGCUCAAGGCCCCACAGGACUGUCCUGGAAUGCUCUUCCCUGUGGCUGAUUCCAGGAACGUUUUGGAAGUUUUGGAAUUGUUUCUUUCAGGAAUGACUGCUUUGAGACCUUUGAUUUCUGAGGCUGCCCUAUUACAGGAAGCCCCAGGCCCUCUGCUCUUCUCCACAAGGAUUCCUUCAUCUAGCAACUCUCAUGUCCAGCUGAUGCUGAAACGAGAUUGAAGAGCUUGAAUAUUCCUUGGCAAGAUGGGUGGAUGGAAUUCAUUCCUUCUGUUCUGAUCCUGAUAUCCGCCAAUCACCUCAACUGCUAAUGGGCUACUGAGCAACAACCUACUACAGUGGAAUAUUUUGUGCUGAAAACAGGAAGAUCGGGAAUGAGGGUUUGUAACUUUUUUGGAUGUGUUUCUAUGGUUCAGUUUUUAUCUUUAGUAUCACCACCUUACUCAAAAUAAGAAUAUAUGUAAAAAUAAACAUGUUUUUGCUUUGAAAUACUGGAAUACUCCUCCCCAGCUUCUUCCUAUCUCAGCUCUGCCCCUGUGAAGAGAACCCACUUGUGGAUUUUAAAGCCAGAAGGAUGAGUCUGAGCCUCUACCGCUGGAUGUGCACAGAGUAACUCCCGCAGCUCAUCCUGAAGCCAGGGCCCUGAUGAAUGGAUCUUUUCCUUACAUGCUAUGGGAAGCUGGCCUGUACAAAUACAAAUGUCUGACAGGCUGUUGCAGUGCUUUGUAUCCUUGUGCCCUGCACCUCACAGCAAGCUGCAAGUUUCCAGUUGUUUCUUACACAGCCUGCGGAUGAAACCCUUCAUGUAUGUGACUGCGUGUGGUGAACAGGAGAGCACAGCACAGGGGGUUGGUGCUAUUUUUAUCCCAGCUGUUCCCAAAACAGCUCUCCCAGCCAGGCAGGUCACACGCACCCCCUCCAGUUGCCACACUGCCUGUCAGAGCGGAGGGUGGGUGAGCAGAGCUCUGCAGGACACUGGGGACGUGGCCAGGGGCUGAUCUGCAGGAUCCCUCAUGCAUAUCCCACGGGUACACACUGGGAUAACACAGUGCAGCUCUUUAACACUUCAGGACAUUUCCAGCAGACUCAUGAUGUGUUUCUCAGUGCCCAGGCUAAGCCUUGCAUUAAGACUGCAAGAACAAGUCAAGGUUUGGGUUUUAUAAGUUCAGUGUCAAUUCACACCUCUAAUUUGGCCUGGAAAAAUGCAGUAAUAUCUAAAAUAAAGGUGUUGUGAAAAG
Molecule: long non-coding RNA, 1848 nt
Organism: Neopsephotus bourkii (Bourke's parrot)
Lineage: Eukaryota; Metazoa; Chordata; Aves; Psittaciformes; Psittacidae
Exons: 2
Source: RefSeq, a predicted model, not a curated record